UACGUAGGGUGCGAGCGUUGUCCGGAAUUAUUGGGCGUAAAGAGCUCGUAGGCGGCUUGUCGCGUCGAUUGUGAAAGCCCGGGGCUUAACUCCGGGUCUGCAGUCGAUACGGGCAGGCUAGAGUGUGGUAGGGGAGAUCGGAAUUCCUGGUGUAGCGGUGAAAUGCGCAGAUAUCAGGGGGAACACCGGUGGCGAAGGCGGAUCUCUGGGCCAUUACUGACGCUGAGGAGCGAAAGCGUGGGGAGCGAACAGG
Molecule: ribosomal RNA, 253 nt
Filed under: uncultured bacterium
Lineage: Bacteria
Description: partial 16S ribosomal RNA
Rfam family: Bacterial small subunit ribosomal RNA
Source: RNAcentral